GGUUUGAAAAGAUCCAUGGUCUUGAAAGAAGGAAAACGGUAAUACUGGUUUUGUGGUCCUAUGUUCAUGCAUCAGAUUCAGAGAUGCUGUCCUCAGUCCUCUGAAGUCUACUCCCUACCUCUUCCUCACACCCUGUGGAACCUAGGCCCCUCACCUGGAUGUUGGGAAUCAGCUCCUGCCUGUGUCUCCUGGCUGGAUAUCAACUUGUACAUCAUAGCCUGCACUAGUGUGUACAGCCUAACAGACUCUGAACCCCACAAAUAAUUUCUGGUUCAUAGAGGAGCUCUGGCAUCACGUUCAUAAUAACAACAACCCCUUCUUCUAACACUGCCAGAACAUCUGGAUAUUCCAUCUCCUCAGUUGAUCAUUUGCUGCCUUGGAUUUGGCAUUAAUCUUCGCAUAGUUCCAUCUGGCACUAUUGGAUAGCUUUGUCUCUGGACUCUUGCCUUGGACCUACAGUCUUAUUUAUGCACUUUAUUUCAGUUUCAUCUUUUGCUGUCAUGUUCAUCUGUAAGUGGCUGAUUAGAUCAAUGCUAGCUGAUGUAUCACAGAGUGAAAUAUUGUAUGACCAUGAAAAGGAUGAUGUCAAUUAAGAAAGAUUGGCAUGGAAAGAUCCCCACAGUGUAUUUUUGAAUAAUAAUAAUAUCAGGUUGCAAAAUAAUAUGUUCAGUAUCAUUCCAUUCACAUUAAAUUAUACAGCUCUCUAAAAAGAGAAGCAUGGAAUUUUUUUCAAGAAAUAUCAAUGGAGGUAAGAUUACAAGCAUCUGUGCU
Bubalus bubalis (water buffalo) is the source of this 771-nucleotide long non-coding RNA. RefSeq lists it as uncharacterized. The record is from RefSeq and is a predicted model, not a curated record. The transcript has 3 exons. NCBI's taxonomy places the organism in Eukaryota, Metazoa, Chordata, Mammalia, Artiodactyla, Bovidae.